GGCGGUGUAGCUCAGUUGGUUAGAGCAGCGGAAUCAUAAUCCGCGUGUCCUGGGUUCUUCCAAAGGAACUCCAGUGGAGGAAUCCCUGCUCCGCUA
This 96-nucleotide transfer RNA is filed under the name bacterium. RNAcentral's name for it is "tRNA-Met". It matches the Rfam family "tRNA". From Rfam's summary of the family: Transfer RNA (tRNA) molecules are approximately 80 nucleotides in length. Their secondary structure includes four short double-helical elements and three loops (D, anti-codon, and T loops). The record is from RNAcentral.